This is a long non-coding RNA of Gorilla gorilla gorilla (western lowland gorilla), 1299 nucleotides long. RefSeq lists it as uncharacterized. The record is from RefSeq and is a predicted model, not a curated record. NCBI's taxonomy places the organism in Eukaryota, Metazoa, Chordata, Mammalia, Primates, Hominidae. The transcript is spliced from 5 exons.
AAGGUGCAGAACUUACUUUAAGUAGCACUAUGUAUGAGGGCUGUACAUCUCACAAACAAAACAGAAAGACAAUAACUUUAGUAAAAAGUAAAUUGACACUUUUGUCAUUAGGUCUGGCAGUCAGUGCAGGCACCAUACAACUCCUAAUUCUAAACAUCUACUCUCAGGAUGAAUACCAUUCAAGCCCAAGGAAAACCAAUGCUUCUUUUCAUCUAUGGACUCAAGUCCCAGAAAGCGGAGAAGUGAGUGUACCAAGUGCAACAAACGUUUGAGCAUUGUUCUGCUGCCAAUAUUGAAGACAGCCACUGCUUUGAAGUGUGGGGAGGAGAGCUAGAGCAUAUUUGCCUGCCACCGUUAGUUUUGUGUUUCCAUGGAAUCUGAGCAAAACUGAUGCACUUGUCUCCCAGGAUUAAUCCACACUACUCACCUCUAAAAUUAUCUUUCCCCAUUCGUUGACUGAGCAAAAAGGACUUCAAGGACCUAAAGGAGGUUAAUACCACAAGAUGGAGGAGCUUGAGUCUCUGAAUCAUUGUGUGUGAAGUCAUCUGCCAAUUACAUAAAUUGAAUUCUUGGGAAUUCUUGGUAUGAUAGGACAUGAAAGCUGAGAGAAAACCCUUCUACCUAGGCACUCCGGAGUUUGAACUACCAGAGACUGAAGGCAGGAGAGAAAAACUAAAACAAAUGACUUCAAAGCCUUUCUGAAAUGCCACAGAGGGUCAGGAUUACAAUCUGCCUAUUCCGAUUCUUCUACUAUGGGAAAAAAUCUUUUCCAGAAUUGAUGUAAAGCCUCUGUUAAUACUUUUCCUGUUAACAACCUAACUAUUCAACCGCUGAAUAAAAACCAUUAGGACAACUAAAGUAACAGAAACUGAGAGAUUUUGGCAAGAAAUAGUCAUUCCAAUAUCAAUAAAUACGGAGGAAAUGCAAUUACUUUUCUUUGCUUAAGUUUUCCAGGGCCUUUCUCUGUUGCCCAGGCUGGAGUGCAGUGAGGCAAUCUUGGCUCACCACAAUCUCUCCCUCCUGGAUUCAAGCAAUUCUCCUGCCUCAGCCCCCCAAGUAGCUGGGAUUACAGGCACGCACCACUACACCCGGAUAAUUUUUGUAUUUUUAGUAGAGAUGGGGUUUUACCAUAUUGGCCAGGCUGGUCUUGAACUCCUGACCUCGUGAUCAGCCUGCCUCGGCCUCCUAAAGUGCUGGGAUUACAUGCAUGAGCCACUGUGCCCGGCCAACUUGUUAAAUUUUUAAUCAUUCUGCUCACCUUUUGCAACCUUACUGACUUUUGUGUCCACCUUAUCUAGC